Molecule: non-coding RNA, 1839 nt
Organism: Tetranychus urticae (two-spotted spider mite)
Lineage: Eukaryota; Metazoa; Arthropoda; Arachnida; Trombidiformes; Tetranychidae
Source: RefSeq, a predicted model, not a curated record
UCAUUUAUUAAUAUUUUGUUUAAAGCAUAGUUUUCUCUUCGAUAUAAUCACCAAGUAUAGUUUUAUCACGAAGAGAACCAGGAGUGAAAGUGAGUCCAUUGAAUGAUGAAUGAAUGUAUGAAGUCACUGGUUCAUUUCCAGAAGUUAAACCAAAAUUCAAUUCCUUUUUUCUUGUAUUCGGUGAAAAAUCUGUUUAAUGUAAGAAAAAGAAAGAGUUGCAAUCAAUAACCGUUUAUAAUAAUAAUGGUUUCUUUAAUUAUUUAGAAGCAUUGAGAUGAACCAUUACAGACCAAACAUUUUCAAUCCUUUUCAAGUUGACGAAAGAAACGACAAAGUUUACUUCAAACAAAAACUUGAAAAAGGAGGAGAUUAACCUUAAGGGCUAAUUUAGGAAACAUUUACAAACUUACAGCGAUACCUAUUGUAUUGUCAUGUAUAAGAGUAUCGCAAGUAGGCUUAGGAUGUGUCAAGAGGCUGUAACAUUUUUUUCACUCGACUUUUACCCUUACCUUAAGCUGACACACAGUCAUCAACAUAGGUUAAUAUUAAGGUAACAACUUGAAGUGUACAUAGAAGGAAGAAAAGGAGUGAAAAAAAGGAAAGGAAAAGAAAAGAAGGUCAAAAUUACCGUUCACUUUCUUUUGCUUGUUAUUCUUGGUUUCCCUUGCAUCUACUGGUCAAGAUGAUAUUUGGGCCUCAAAAGAGACUGUCUAUUUGACCUACAAACAAGAAUCAUCUCGUACAACAAGGCGAACGUGAAAACAAGUACAAAGAAAAAGCAAGCAAGAACAACAAUUUAACCUUCAAUUUGACCAACAAUUAUGAUAACAAGGAAAGAUAAGCUAAAUAACUAAAUACACAUUUGAUACUGUAAUUUGAAUAGCUUUUGACGCUUCCAGAAGUUACAAAGUUGCAAAGCUAAAAAGAUAAGCUGAAAAGCUAAAUAACUCUGGAUCCAUUGGAAAUGCUUUUUUUAACCAACAUUCAACCAAGUGAUCGCCUCAAUACAUUUGGAUUACAAGUUAAAUUUUCAUUGAAAAAACAGCAUUUACACACGGAAAAAGAAACUGACCAUUGAACAAUAAUUAACAGGCCAGCUAAUGAUGAAUACAACUAUUAUUAUUGAUAAAUUUGAAUAUUAUUGCCAAUAUUUGAAUAUGUUGACGUGAAAAGAGGAAAAGAAAGGAAAGAGGAAAAGAAAAUUGUUUCCUCCAAAAAAUGCGAUAAUGAUCAUUGCGAGAAAUGUAUCAACAAAAUAACGAUGAUUAGGCCCAGGCUGAUGGUGUAUAUGCAAAUAAAGAUCAAGAUUGGAAGCCAAAGAUGUCGAUAGAUAACAAUUGGUGUUGUUGAGCUUGGAUGGUAAAUGAUUUUAAAUAAUUAAUACCUUUUUCUGAUUGCUAUGUUUGCUGAUCACGACAAAUUUCAAUUGAGGUUCAACUUUCUCAAGAUCAAAUGAUUUCUUUGCGCUUGUUGGUUACAUCGGUUUUCACUGUUUUUUUUGUUUAAAACGCCAGAAGUUGGCCUCACAAGUGACCUUGGCUUAUGAAUUUAAAGAGGCCUACAAUUGAUUAGACAAUAAUUAGGAACAAAGCGUUUUACCAAACAUUGAAACAUUACGCUAAUUAACAAAUGGAUGGUGACAUUGAAAGGGAAAGUCAAUGGAAGGCUGAUUCCGUUUGGUACAAAAGACGUGAAGAGUCUUGUCUUUUCAUAAUUUAAUUAGUGAUAACAUUUAAUUAACAUUAAUUGUUACAAUAAUUUUGCUUUUAAUUAUCAUCUAAAUAGUGUCACUUAAUUAAAGGCUUGAGAACCUUGGUUCACUUGGAGGAUUUUUUUCAA